GACCUAACAUUGUGAGUUGAAAGAAAAUGUUUUUUUGUUGAAUUUAUGAAUAUUAAGUAAAAAGAAUUCCUUAAAAACUUUUAACAGACCAUGUGCAUGGCUUGUUAUGAUAAUAACUACAAUUAUAGACCAUGACGUAGAGUACAAAUAUAUUUACAAGUAAUUGCACUGAGUGAUGUUAAAUAUGUUUAGUUAGCAAUUAUCGGCUGUAAGUACAUACAACGAUUUUCAGAGUUUGAUUAUGAAUAAAAGGUCAUGCACAGGUAUUACUUGAAUCUUGAAAAAACAUUUCUAAACUUUUAUUAAGUGGUCUGAUAUGAGCGAAUGUAAACCUUUAUGCUAACCAUGCAAGAAAGUAAAUUUAAACCAACAGGGAAACCAAUAUGAACACAUUAUGUAUACUACAUCAUCAAUAACCCGAAUAAAUCACUCAAUUACACGCAGGGUAAACCACAUAAGAAUUUUAUAAACAAACUUUAAUUUUGAAAGAAUAAACGUAUUAAUGAAAUUACAUUUGAUACUUCAUUUUUCAUAUCAAGUAUGAAACAAUGAAGUGUAUGGCUAGUGACUUCGGAGAUACUUGGGGAGUACAGUAAUGGCUGUUGUCUGAAAUUCUCAUCCAUCUAAGGAUUAGCAGCUUAAGCUCAAUUACAAGUCAUUGAGGUAUCUAUGCAUCACACCAUUUUCCUUAGGUCAUACGAUUAAUUUAUAAUUAUUAAUUACUCAAUUAAUUAAUUAGUCAAUUAUUUAUUAAUGUAUUACAAUCAAUAAUUCUAUAAUAUAAGUCAUAAAAAAUCAAACAAUAA
This is a long non-coding RNA of Daktulosphaira vitifoliae (grape phylloxera), 806 nucleotides long. RefSeq lists it as uncharacterized. Lineage: Eukaryota; Metazoa; Arthropoda; Insecta; Hemiptera; Phylloxeridae. The transcript has 3 exons. The record is from RefSeq and is a predicted model, not a curated record.